AGAGUUUGAUCCUGGCUCAGGACGAACGCUGGCGGCGUGCCUAAUACAUGCAAGUCGAGCGAGCUUGCCUAGAUGAUUUUAGUGCUUGCACUAAAUGAAACUAGAUACAAGCGAGCGGCGGACGGGUGAGUAACACGUGGGUAACCUGCCCAAGAGACUGGGAUAACACCUGGAAACAGAUGCUAAUACCGGAUAACAACACUAGACGCAUGUCUAGAGUUUGAAAGAUGGUUCUGCUAUCACUCUUGGAUGGACCUGCGGUGCAUUAGCUAGUUGGUAAGGUAACGGCUUACCAAGGCAAUGAUGCAUAGCCGAGUUGAGAGACUGAUCGGCCACAUUGGGACUGAGACACGGCCCAAACUCCUACGGGAGGCAGCAGUAGGGAAUCUUCCACAAUGGACGAAAGUCUGAUGGAGCAACGCCGCGUGAGUGAAGAAGGGUUUCGGCUCGUAAAGCUCUGUUGGUAGUGAAGAAAGAUAGAGGUAGUAACUGGCCUUUAUUUGACGGUAAUUACUUAGAAAGUCACGGCUAACUACGUGCCAGCAGCCGCGGUAAUACGUAGGUGGCAAGCGUUGUCCGGAUUUAUUGGGCGUAAAGCGAGUGCCGGCGGUUCAAUAAGUCUGAUGUGAAAGCCUUCGGCUCAACCGGAGAAUUGCAUCAGAAACUGUUGAACUUGAGUGCAGAAGAGGAGAGUGGAACUCCAUGUGUAGCGGUGGAAUGCGUAGAUAUAUGGAAGAACACCAGUGGCGAAGGCGGCUCUCUGGUCUGCAACUGACGCUGAGGCUCGAAAGCAUGGGUAGCGAACAGGAUUAGAUACCCUGGUAGUCCAUGCCGUAAACGAUGAGUGCUAAGUGUUGGGAGGUUUCCGCCUCUCAGUGCCGCAGCU
RNAcentral lists this ribosomal RNA (886 nucleotides) under uncultured bacterium. RNAcentral's name for it is "bacterial SSU rRNA". It matches the Rfam family "Bacterial small subunit ribosomal RNA", at positions 8 to 853 of the family's 1533-position model. The record is from RNAcentral.